RNAcentral lists this ribosomal RNA (520 nucleotides) under uncultured Diversispora. RNAcentral's name for it is "SSU rRNA". It matches the Rfam family "Eukaryotic small subunit ribosomal RNA", at positions 569 to 1088 of the family's 1831-position model. Lineage: Eukaryota; Fungi; Glomeromycota; Glomeromycetes; Diversisporales; Diversisporaceae. The record is from RNAcentral.
AGCAGCCGCGGUAAUUCCAGCUCCAAUAGCGUAUAUUAAAGUUGUUGCAGUUAAAAAGCUCGUAGUUGAACUUCGGGGUUUACCCAUUGGUCAGGCUUAAUUGUCUGUACUGGUGAGAUAAAUCUCUACCUUCUGAGGAACUUUCAUGCCAUUUAGUUGGUGUGAUAGGAAAUCAGGACUGUUACUUUGAAAAAAUUAGAGUGUUUAAAGCAGGCUAACGUCUGAAUACAUUAGCGUGGAAUAAUGAAAUAGGACGGAUUGGUUCUAUUUCGUUGGUUUCUAGGAUCACCGUAAUGAUUAAUAGGGAUAGUUGGGGGCAUGAGUAUUCAAUUGUCAGAGGUGAAAUUCUUGGAUUUAUUGAAGACUAACUAUUGCGAAAGCAUUUGCCAAGGAUGUUUUCAUUAAUCAAGAACGAAGGUUAGGGGAUCGAAGACGAUCAGAUACCGUCGUAGUCUUAACCAUAAACUAUGCCGACUAGGGAUCGGACGAAGUUAAUUUUAUAAUGACGCGUUCGGCACCU